Molecule: ribosomal RNA, 405 nt
Filed under: uncultured Rhodocyclaceae bacterium
Lineage: Bacteria; Pseudomonadati; Pseudomonadota; Betaproteobacteria; Rhodocyclales; Rhodocyclaceae
Description: bacterial SSU rRNA
Rfam family: Bacterial small subunit ribosomal RNA
Source: RNAcentral
UACCUUGACAUGUCCGGAAUCCCGAAGAGAUUUGGAGUGCUCGCAAGAGAGCCGGAACACAGGUGCUGCAUGGCUGUCGUCAGCUCGUGUCGUGAGAUGUUGGGUUAAGUCCCGCAACGAGCGCAACCCUUGUCAUUAGUUGCCAUCAUUUGGUUGGGCACUCUAAUGAGACUGCCGGUGACAAACCGGAGGAAGGUGGGGAUGACGUCAAGUCCUCAUGGCCCUUAUGGGUAGGGCUUCACACGUCAUACAAUGGUCGGUACAGAGGGUUGCCAACCCGCGAGGGGGAGCUAAUCCCACAAAGCCGAUCGUAGUCCGGAUCGCAGUCUGCAACUCGACUGCGUGAAGUCGGAAUCGCUAGUAAUCGCGGAUCAGCAUGUCGCGGUGAAUACGUUCCCGGGUCUU